RNAcentral lists this ribosomal RNA (329 nucleotides) under uncultured eukaryote. RNAcentral describes it as "partial 18S ribosomal RNA". It matches the Rfam family "Eukaryotic small subunit ribosomal RNA", at positions 1470 to 1796 of the family's 1831-position model. The record is from RNAcentral.
CCCUUAGAUGUUCUGGGCCGCACGCGCGCUACACUGACACGUUCAUCAAGUCUAUAACCUUGACCGAGAGGUCUGGGUAAUCUUUUAAAAACGUGUCGUGCUGGGGAUAGAUUAUUGCAAUUAUUAAUCUUCAACGGGGAAUUCCUAGUAAACGCAAGUCAUCAACUUGCAUUGAUUACGUCCCUGCCCUUUGUACACACCGCCCGUCGCUACUACCGAUUGAAUGAUUUAGUGAGUACCAGGGACCGAGCGCUUUGGUUGGGUUUCCUUCCCUAGCGCUUGGGAACUGUCGCAAACUUGACCAUUUAGAGGAAGUAAAAGUCGUAACA